AGCGAAGCUUUUUGGUAGUUUACUACUAGAAAUGACUGAGCGGCGAACGGGUGAGUAACGCGUGAGCAAUCUACCUUAGUUACUGGGAUAGCCCGAGGAAACUCGGAUUAAUACCGGAUAUUCUUAUUUUUUCACAUGAAGUUUUAAGGAAAGGUCAGCCGAACUAAGAUGAGCUCGCGUUCUAUCAGCUAGUUGGUGGGGUAAAAGCCUACCAAGGCUACGACGGAUAGCUGGUCUGAGAGGACGAUCAGCCACACUGGGACUGAGACACGGCCCAGACUCCUACGGGAGGCUGCAGCAGGGAAUAUUGUGCAAUGAGCGAAAGCUUGACACAGCGACACCGCGUGUGGGAUGACGGUUCUAGGAUUGUAAACCACUUUCAGGAGGGAAGAAAAUGACGGUACCUCCACAAGAAGACCCGGCCAACUAUGUGCCAGCAGCCGCGGUAAUACAUAGGGGUCAAGCGUUGUCCGGAUUUAUUGGGCGUAAAGAGCUCGUAGGCGGUUCAACAAGUCGGUCGUAAAAGUUUAGGGCUCAACCCUAAAAUGUCGAUCGAUACUGUUGUGACUAGGAUACGGUAGAGGUGAAUGGAAUUCCGAGUGUAGCGGUGAAAUGCGUAGAUAUUCGGAGGAACACCAAUUGCGAAGGCAGUUCACUGGACCGUGAUCGACGCUGAGGAGCGAAAGCUAGGGGAGCAAACAGGAUUAGAU
RNAcentral lists this ribosomal RNA (710 nucleotides) under uncultured bacterium. RNAcentral describes it as "bacterial SSU rRNA". It matches the Rfam family "Bacterial small subunit ribosomal RNA", at positions 65 to 783 of the family's 1533-position model. The record is from RNAcentral.